This 253-nucleotide ribosomal RNA is filed under the name uncultured bacterium. RNAcentral describes it as "partial 16S ribosomal RNA". It matches the Rfam family "Bacterial small subunit ribosomal RNA", at positions 524 to 776 of the family's 1533-position model. The record is from RNAcentral.
UACGUAGGGUGCGAGCGUUAAUCGGAAUUACUGGGCGUAAAGCGUGCGCAGGCGGCUUUGCAAGACAGAUGUGAAAUCCCCGGGCUCAACCUGGGAUCUGCAUUUGUGACUGCAAGGCUAGAGUACGGCAGAGGGGGAUGGAAUUCCGCGUGUAGCAGUGAAAUGCGUAGAUAUGCGGAGGAACACCAAUGGCGAAGGCAAUCCCCUGGGCCUGUACUGACGCUCAUGCACGAAAGCGUGGGGAGCAAACAGG